RNAcentral lists this ribosomal RNA (392 nucleotides) under uncultured bacterium. Its description in RNAcentral is "partial 16S ribosomal RNA". It matches the Rfam family "Bacterial small subunit ribosomal RNA", at positions 523 to 918 of the family's 1533-position model. The record is from RNAcentral.
ACACGUAGGGGCCUGACGUUGUUCGGAAUCAUUGGGCGUAAAGGGCGCGCAGGCGGCCGUCCAAGUCCGGUGUUAAAUGGUCGGGCUCAACCCGAUCAUGCGCUGGAAACUGGGCGGCUGGAGUCCCGGAGGGGAUGCCGGAAUUCCAGGUGUAGGGGUGAAAUCUGUAGAUAUCUGGAAGAACACCGAUGGCGAAGGCAGGCAUCUGGCCGGAGACUGACGCUGAGGCGCGAAGGCGCGGGGAGCGAACAGGUUUAGAUACCCUGGUAGUCCGCGCAGUAAACGAUGCGCACCAGGUGUCGGGCGGCAGCGCCCGGUACCGGAGCAAACGCGAUGAGUGCGCCGCCUGGGGAGUAUGCCCGCAAGGGUGAAACUCAAAUGAAUUGACGGGG